This is a long non-coding RNA of Aplysia californica (California sea hare), 288 nucleotides long. RefSeq lists it as uncharacterized. The transcript is spliced from 2 exons. The record is from RefSeq and is a predicted model, not a curated record. Lineage: Eukaryota; Metazoa; Mollusca; Gastropoda; Aplysiida; Aplysiidae.
UGAGAAUGUGGAGUCUUUGGUCGUGUGUACAGGGUAGGGCAUUAGGUUGAGAAUGUGGAGUCUUUGGUCGUGUGUACAGGGUAGGGCAUUAGGUUGAGAAUGUGGAGUCUUUGGUCGUGUGUACAGGGUAGGGCAAUAGGUUGAGAAUGUGGAGUCUUUGGUUGUGUGUGCUUUGUAUUCUGCUUUGUGAGAGACAGUGUCGUUAGAGAAAUUGAGGAUGUUGCAAGUUUUGGGUUCUGUGCAUAAUGACUAUUCUGUGAUAAACGAAUAAAUUGUUGAAGCUAUAAA